AAAUUGAAGAGUUUGAUCAUGGCUCAGAUUGAACGCUGGCGGCAGGCCUAACACAUGCAAGUCGAACGGUAACAGGAAACAGUUUGCUGUUUCGCUGACGAGUGGCGGACGGGUGAGUAAUGUCUGGGAAACUGCCUGAUGGAGGGGGAUAACUACUGGAAACGGUAGCUAAUACCGCAUAACGUCGCAAGACCAAAGAGGGGGACCUUCGGGCCUCUUGCCAUCGGAUGUGCCCAGAUGGGAUUAGCUAGUAGGUGGGGUAACGGCUCACCUAGGCGACGAUCCCUAGCUGGUCUGAGAGGAUG
This 305-nucleotide ribosomal RNA is filed under the name Escherichia coli. Its description in RNAcentral is "partial 16S ribosomal RNA". It matches the Rfam family "Bacterial small subunit ribosomal RNA", at positions 1 to 302 of the family's 1533-position model. Lineage: Bacteria; Pseudomonadati; Pseudomonadota; Gammaproteobacteria; Enterobacterales; Enterobacteriaceae. The record is from RNAcentral.